This 208-nucleotide ribosomal RNA is filed under the name uncultured bacterium. Its description in RNAcentral is "partial 16S ribosomal RNA". It matches the Rfam family "Bacterial small subunit ribosomal RNA", at positions 568 to 774 of the family's 1533-position model. The record is from RNAcentral.
UGCGUAGGCGGCUUUCUAAGUCGGAUGUGAAAACUCUGGGCUCAACCCAGAGCCUGCAUCUGAAACUGGAGAGCUAGGGUUCUGGAGGGGAAAGCGGAAUUCCUGGUGUAGCGGUGAAAUGCGUAGAUAUCAGGAGGAACACCGGUGGCGAAGGCGGCUUUCUGGACAGAUACCGACGCUGAGGCACGAAAGGCUAGGGGAGCAAACA